This is a long non-coding RNA of Ictalurus punctatus (channel catfish), 2185 nucleotides long. RefSeq lists it as uncharacterized. The record is from RefSeq and is a predicted model, not a curated record. The transcript has 2 exons. Lineage: Eukaryota; Metazoa; Chordata; Actinopteri; Siluriformes; Ictaluridae.
CGUGAUGGUGUGUGUGUGUGUGUUUUCUUCAGUGACGUGUCUUUCCAGUGUUCUGGAAAGUUCGGUGCGGUGUUUCCCCUUCAGUGCGCAUGCGCGAACGCAUGACAUUUUCUCCUGUUGCUGCGUUGAGCAGAUAGUGUGUGCUUUAUCAUCGCGUGUGAUAGUUUAUAGUGUUAUUACCUACUUUCCAUCAGUAUAAGGCUACUCAUCUCAGUUAUGGCUAGGACUUACGCCUGAGAAGUGCACCUAUAAAUGUUGUUUCAUUCAGCAAGUCUGAGAAAAGUGGUUGUUCCCCCCUGUAUGUUACAGUGUGAGCAUUUAUAAAGAACUACAGUGAUGCUGGUGAUGUCAUCAUUAUGGGUAACAAGUUUCAUUUGUAGUAUUUAGCCAAGUGACAUGACUUGAUCUUUAAAAAAAAGUUACAAAAAAAGUAUUUCUGUGUUCAGAAUGCAUUAAUUUAAAAAGCAUGACCCCCCCCAAAAAAUAAAAGUACUCCUUGUCGGCUAACUUACAUAUAACCACUUGCAAAAAAAAACCAACCAAAAACCGAUUGUAGGUUUUGUGCCAGGAUGUCCAAGAAGCAUUCUGAGGUAAGUUUUGCUGUAGUUAAAAUUGUUUUUUAAAUAAUACGAUUUUUGACUUCGAUAAUGAAUAUGACUAAUGACUCUUUACUACCACUGUUUUAUAAUAAUAAUAUUGAUUGUUUCCUAUUGUGUUUAAAUCAGGCCUACCACCUUCUGAGCUACUCAGAAGAACCACGCAGCGUGGACCAAAUAUCUGCACGACCCACUGGGUAGCCUGGCACGAACCUCUGAAAAGUGCAGUGCGGGCUAGCAGAAUAUUUGAAACUAUUUUAAAUAGUCCUAAAUUUUUUAAGGGAAUUGAUGAAGUCCUUGAAAGAAAUAGACAAUAAUAAUAAUAAUAAUAAUAAUGAAAAAUAAGACACAGCAGAAAACGGUCUAUGAGCAUAAGAAAACUCUUCAGACUUCAGAGGUUUACAUACCAGGUAACCUCUGUAUACCAGGAACAAGGUGCUCCUGGUAUGCAGUAGUUAGUACCUACUGUACUAACUACUACAUACCAGGAACACCCUGUUUUGGAGAUGCUCUGUCUCAGUUGUCUAGGCAUCACUAGUUGGCCCUUUUCGUUGUUGCUCAGAUCCUUACGCUUACCCAUUUUUUCUGCUUCCAACACAUCGGCUUUGAGAGCUGACUGUUCUCUUGUUGCCUAAUAUAUCCCACCCCUUGACAGGUGCCACUGUUACGUGAUAAUCAAUGUUAUUCACGUCACUUGUCGCCUUUUAAUAUUAUGGCUGAUUGCUGUAUAAUUCAUCCAGUGUCUAGAUGUUAUUUAUACUCUAUACACUUUUGUAAAAGAUUUGAGUGAUCUUUGUCGGUUCUGUGGGGAACCCAAGUGAUCCAGUUUUGACACCUGCCUGGGUAAUGGGGCAUUUUUAUUUUAAAAGUUUCUUAAUAAAAAAAUAAAAAUAAAAAAAAAGUAAUAAUACUCAAAUUUUAUUAGCCUUUUCAAUGCCCCAUGCUAUUACAGUUAAACUUGUAACAGAUGAGUCUAUCUAAUGUAGAAAUAAAAUAGUUUUAUCACAUUUUUUAUCUAUUUAACUAUUUUAUAAAAUAGUUUUAUCACAUGAUUUAAAACAUUUUAUGAUCAUUCAGAUUGCCUGUAAUGAAUGUGACAGGUGGUACCAUCAGUCAUGUGUGGGCAACUCAUCAGGAGGAAGAUUUUUAUUGCCCAGCAUGUAUUGAAGAAUACACCAAGGUUAACUGUGACAAUAUUUUUCAAAGGCGUCUAUGUUGUUGUAUUUAAUUUUAUGGCAUUGUGUUUUUGUUUAAUUAAAAGGUAAAUAAACAAAUUUUUUCAUUUAUUUCUAUUCAGUAACUGCUUUAUCCUGGUCAUAGUUGUCGUGGAUCCAGAGCCUAUUCUGGUAACACUGAGCGUGAGGCAGAAGUACACUGUGGAUGGGACACUGGUCAAUCGCAGGGCACCAUGCACAUGAACAUUAUUACUGUUAUUAAUAUGUUUAUAUUUGUAUUUAAUGUUUAUAGAAGUACUUAAGUUUUGUUUUUAAUUUAAUUGGAUUUUCCACAUAUUUGCACAAUUGUAGUAUAUGCAUAAUAUAGUUUAAUUCUUGAUUUGCCAAUAAAAAUAUUUUGUUCUUAUAUUUAAA